UACGUAGGAGGCAAGCGUUGUCCGGAAUUACUGGGCGUAAAGCGCGUGUAGGUGGUGGGACAAGUCUGCUGUGAAAGCGCCUGGCUUAACCGGGCGAGGUCGGCGGAAACUGUCCGACUCGAGGACGGUAGGGGGGGGUGGAAUUCCCGGUGUAGUGGUGAAAUGCGUAGAGAUCGGGAGGAACACCUGUGGCGAAGGCGGCCCCCUGGGCCGGCCCUGACACUGAGACGCGAAAGCGUGGGGAGCGAACAGG
Molecule: ribosomal RNA, 253 nt
Filed under: uncultured bacterium
Lineage: Bacteria
Description: partial 16S ribosomal RNA
Rfam family: Bacterial small subunit ribosomal RNA
Source: RNAcentral